GUAAAAAAUGAAUCCUGGUGCCACGGAAAUUACACAAAAAAAAUCAAGUAUGACUUAAUUUCUUGAAGCAGUCGCCUUAAAAAAAUAACUAUUAUGUUUUUCCCCAAAUAAAUCAACUACAUUUGCGAGAAAAAAAUUCAGAGAAAAUGUUCCCUGAAAGAAUUGUGGGAAGUUGCACAAUUUCUCGCUGAUAAAUGUGCAGCCUUUUCCUCAAAUAUUUUGAACAUCUGAAAAACGUCCUUCAGUUGAGAUUUUGAAAAGACUGCCUCGAAGACAGACGCCAUUGAAGUUCAGCAUGGAAUAGUAAAAGGGUUGGCAAAAUGCUCAUCAAGGUCCAGUACCGUGGACUAAAAAAGUACCUCAAACUGCAGCCUGGUUUUUCUUUUGAAAGUUUCAUUGAAGAAUUUGUGCCAGCAGGUUCUUCUACUCUACAUUUUUCACUUUUCUGAAGUGAUAUGUAGAGGUCCUCUUCAAACAAGGGGCAUCAAUCUCCUGGUGCAGGAUAGAACACCUCUGCCAUAGGGGAUGCAGCAGAAAAGGCCAAAUGGAUGGUCCAGGAGGUUCUGGAGAAGAGUUCAGGGGGAGAGGAAACAAUGGAAGAGUAUAAGAGAUUGAGCACCUGACACACUGCACAAGACGGCAUCAUAUCCUGGUCAGCCACAUUGUUGAAAU
Long non-coding RNA from Alosa sapidissima (American shad), 672 nucleotides. RefSeq lists it as uncharacterized. Lineage: Eukaryota; Metazoa; Chordata; Actinopteri; Clupeiformes; Clupeidae. The record is from RefSeq and is a predicted model, not a curated record. The transcript has 4 exons.